GCCACAUAAUAAAUGUGAUAAGCACCUCAAUUAGAUACUCUAGAAAGUCAUUAGCAUGGUAUUAGAACGAACUACAAGAAUAUUUCCUAAGUUAUUCUCAACUAUAUAGUCUAGCAUUAUCAUAGUUAGUGCAAGCAUACUUAGCAAUCAUUGUGAGACAAGACUACGCCCAUGCAUAGUGACAUUAGCAAGGAAUAUGAGAAACAUAGCAAUCACUCCCCUGUAAUAAUGUUGUUGUGCCAGCCCAAUACACGAGAGGGGGGCUAUAUAAGAAUCAAUGAAGCUGUCACUAUCACGAACCACCCCACGAUCUGGCAUAUUGGGUACAAUCGCAGAUAAAUACGGUAUAAGCACCACGCCUACACAAUAUCUAUCAUUUACCCAUGGAUCCGAUGGAUAAACGCUAUACGAUCCUAAGCAUGUAUAUAGAUCGAAUCUAACUAAGCCAAGUACAUAACUAUGAUAAACUAAGAACAAU
This 478-nucleotide long non-coding RNA is filed under the name Sorghum bicolor (sorghum). Its description in RNAcentral is "long non-coding RNA (SBIC_LNC010066)". Lineage: Eukaryota; Viridiplantae; Streptophyta; Magnoliopsida; Poales; Poaceae. The record is from RNAcentral.